GAUGAACGCUGGCGGCGUGCUUAACACAUGCAAGUCGAACGGAAAGGCCCUGCUUUUGUGGGGUGCUCGAGUGGCGAAAGGGUGAGUAUCACGCGUGUAAAAUGCACUUGUCUUUGGGAUAACUCUUGGAAACUGGGGCUCUUACCGGAUAGGAGCUCCUGAUGCAUGGUGGGGGAUGGUAAGUUUCGGCGGUUGGGGAUGGACUCGCGGCUUAUCAGCUUGUUGGGGGGGUAGUGGAUUACCCAGGCUUUGACGGGUAGCCGGCCUGAGAGGGUGGCCGGCCACAAUGGGACUGAGGGACGGCCCAGUCGCCUACGGGAGGCAGCAGUGGAGAAGAUUGCACAGGGGGCGCGAGCCAGAGACAACAACCCCGCGAGCGUAAAGACCUCCUUCUGGUUGUAAACCGCUUUGGCCGGUGACGAAGCGGGAGUGACGGUAAUUAGUAAAGAAGCACCGGCUAACUACGUG
This 468-nucleotide ribosomal RNA is filed under the name uncultured bacterium. RNAcentral describes it as "partial 16S ribosomal RNA". It matches the Rfam family "Bacterial small subunit ribosomal RNA", at positions 28 to 507 of the family's 1533-position model. The record is from RNAcentral.